GUGGGGAAUAUUGGACAAUGGGCGAAAGCCUGAUCCAGCCAUGCCGCGUGUGUGAAGAAGGUCUUCGGAUUGUAAAGCACUUUAAGUUGGGAGGAAGGGCAGUAAGUUAAUACCUUGCUGUUUUGACGUUACCGACAGAAUAAGCACCGGCUAACUUCGUGCCAGCAGCCGCGGUAAUACGAAGGGUGCAAGCGUUAAUCGGAAUCACUGGGCGUAAAGCGCGCGUAGGUGGUUUUGUAAGUUGGAGGUGAAAUCCCCGGGCUCAACCUGGGAACUGCCUCCAAAACUGCAUGACUAGAGUACGGUAGAGGGUAGCGGAAUUUCCUGUGUAGCGGUGAAAUGCGUAGAUAUAGGAAGGAACACCAGUGGCGAAGGCGACUACCUGGACUGAUACUGACACUGAGGUGCGAAAGCGUGGGGAGCAAACAGGAUUAGAAACCCGAGUAGUCC
This 450-nucleotide ribosomal RNA is filed under the name uncultured bacterium. RNAcentral's name for it is "partial 16S ribosomal RNA". It matches the Rfam family "Bacterial small subunit ribosomal RNA", at positions 354 to 796 of the family's 1533-position model. The record is from RNAcentral.